Molecule: long non-coding RNA, 2032 nt
Filed under: Marmota monax (woodchuck)
Lineage: Eukaryota; Metazoa; Chordata; Mammalia; Rodentia; Sciuridae
Source: RNAcentral
ACGGAGUUUGGGAGGCAGCGCGCUGCGGCGCGGAAAGCUGGAGGAGCCCGCGCCCCGGGCGGAGAGCACGCCGAGUGGGAGAGGCCCCCUCCUGCGUCGCCCCCGGAGCCUGAGGUGUGUAGCCCGCCAGGCCGGGGCUAGAUUCCUAAUCAGGCCUGGAAGGAAACGGAUCCAAUUAGGGCACAGCCACGUCCCUCGGUUGCCAGGAGCCUGAAGAUCUAUGACCGACCCAAACCAUUUCUGGAAAAGUCAUAUUUUCCAGGCUUUCGUGAAAUAGUCAUUACUUCUAUUCUAAAUCUGGAGGCGAGCGUGCAUCUAUUUCAGGGAGGAAAAAAAAUGUGAAAAGUAGACUGGACUCCGGGAAAUGUGGGCAAUGGGGUUGGACCUAGGGCUGGUGUCCACCCUCUGGGCCUUUCCUACGAACCUGAAUUGUGGAUUCAUUAGCAUAAAGCGUGGAGGGGGUCAGUGUAAAUAGUCCCUGCAAAUUCAGUACCGAGGUGGGGGUGGGAAGGUGAAUUUAAAAUGGCUCACUUAACUCUCAAGAUCUGGACUUUCACAAAGGGAAAACACACAUCAAAUGAAGGUCAACCAGUGCAGGCCCAGGAGUGGUAUUCCCUUGGGACUUCGUGUUUACCACCAUUUCAGCAUUACCAUCCUGUAUUGCAAUUAAGUGUGUUCUUGUCCAUCUCUCCAAGACUGAGGAGUCCUAGAGCGAAGGUUACCAAAGCCUAGGGUUGUUUGUACCUGCCCUGACCCUUUAGAGCUCACCACAGGCACUAAAUGUUUUCCUAAAUGACUAUCUAUUGGAGAUAGAUAAUGAAUGCUGCGAAGCACAGAUUCAAGAACAAUUAACUUUAAUUUAAGGAAUAGAGCAGACAAGGCUUGGUGAGAGGCCGGGCAUUUGAGCUGGACCCUGGAGAGCAACCAGGAUGACUGUGCCGACCUGUCCAUGUUGACGGAAUGUGCAGUGGGGUAGGAACGUGGUAGGUCUGAGCGGGGGAUUGGUUGGGGCCUUGGAAAAGGAAGCUAAGAGGAAGGACCGAAUGCCUGGCCACACUGUCAUGGUCAGAAAAAGCACAAAACCUUUCUUAGUAGUUCUGGAAUAUGGACAGGUAUAUAUACAACAAAACAGGGAAUAUGAGCCGGGUGGGGUGGCGCAGGCCUAUAAUCUCAGAGGCUGGGGAGACUGAAGGACCAAAGCCAGCCUUAGCAAAAGCGAAGCUCUAGCAACUCAGUGAGACCCUGUCUCUAAAUAAAAUACAAAAUAGGGCUGGGGAUGUGGCUCAGAAGCUAAGUGCCUUUGAGUUCAAUCCCGGGUAGCCCCCCAUCCCCGAAAGCAAAAACAAAAAACAAGGAAUAUGGAUAUACAGAAAGGAAGAAAGACCAAAGCAAAAAAGAAAACUAAAAGGACAACUUAAUGGGGAAUUUCAGAAAAAUUAUAUGAAACCAAAAAGAAAUGUCAAGGAAAACCCCUGGCCUGAGACUCCAGGAACAAAACAUUUAAAUAGCAUUUGGGCAAGCAGGGGAGGGAGUGUGUCUAUGGAAGAGGGAAAGAAAAGAGGUCACAAGGGAACUAAUGUUUUGAUUAAAGAUCUUUGACCAUUAUGGUGUUUCUCAUUGGCACAAGUUGAUUUAGAGACAUGGCAAACUAUAUUAGAUGUAAAGAUGGAACUCAAAAAUAACAAGAGAACAGUGAUACAUUGAAUACUAGAUAAAUGUCCAUCUUCAAGGAAUUUUAAAUAAAUUUGUAGCUGAUCAAACAAUAGAAUGUUAUGGAGUGAUUACAAACACAGAGCAUUUAUUGAAAAGAUGUACGCAACAUAUUAUCAUGUGAAGAGAUGAUUACCUGGAAUGACUCUCUCGAGAUGUUUGCAUUAUAAAUGCUUUUUCACUUUCUCCUUCAUCCCUAUAAGUGCUGUCUGAAUUUUUAGAAUGACCAAUUACCUUUCUGAUGAGAAAAUAAGUAAGUAAAUAUAAGCAUUUACUUAUAAAAUAAGUAAAUAAAUAUAAGCCGAGUUUUAAUCUUUCGAAA